Equus quagga is the source of this 417-nucleotide long non-coding RNA. RefSeq lists it as uncharacterized. NCBI's taxonomy places the organism in Eukaryota, Metazoa, Chordata, Mammalia, Perissodactyla, Equidae. The transcript is spliced from 3 exons. The record is from RefSeq and is a predicted model, not a curated record.
GCAGGGCCUUCAGCCAUUGACCGAGAGCAGGACAGAGCACCCGGGCGAGCUCUGCCGGGCAACCCUAGCCCGAUUCUCAGCCGCCGCUGCCCAGAGCCUCUCAGCCUCAGGCCCCUCCCCGGCACUGCCUUUCCUGGACCCGCUUCUUCCUGGAAAAUCAAGAUUGAGCUGAGCUGGAGAGUGUGCCUGGCAAAACCUGAGCCCCAAGCAUUUCUGCCCUGAUUGGAUCCUUGUCACUAACCAAGCUUAUUCCAAGCUUGGGACCUUUACACCGUCCUCUGCCUGGAAUCCCCAAGAUGGAUGCACAGCUGGCUCCUUCCAAUCAUCGUUCCAGUCUCACUUCAUGCGUCACCUCAGGGAGGUGACCUGAUCACCAUCAUUGUAGGUCCUUCUGGUUGUGCUAUGCAGGACGCUGCC